UGGGGAAUUUUGGACAAUGGGGGAAACCCUGAUCCAGCCAUCCCGCGUGUGCGAUGAAGGCCUUCGGGUUGUAAAGCACUUUUGGCAGGAAAGAAACGUCAUGGGUUAAUACCCCGUGAAACUGACGGUACCUGCAGAAUAAGAACCGGCUAACUACGUGCAAGCAGCCGCGGUAAAAGGAAGGGUGCAAGCGUAAAUCGGAAUUACUGGGCGUAAAGCGUGCGCAGGCGGUCCGGAAAGAAAGAUGUGAAAUCCCAGGGCUCAACUUUGGAACUGCAUUUUUAACUACCGUGCUAGAGUGUGUCAGAGGGAGGUGGAAUUCCGCUUGUAGCAGUGAAAUGCGUAGAUAUGCGGAGGAACACCGAUGGCGAAGGCAGCCUCCUGGGAUAACACUGACGCUCAUGCACGAAAGCGUGGGGAGCAAACAGG
RNAcentral lists this ribosomal RNA (429 nucleotides) under Acidobacteriota bacterium. Its description in RNAcentral is "Acidobacteria bacterium partial 16S ribosomal RNA". It matches the Rfam family "Bacterial small subunit ribosomal RNA", at positions 355 to 776 of the family's 1533-position model. Lineage: Bacteria; Pseudomonadati; Acidobacteriota. The record is from RNAcentral.